Molecule: unclassified non-coding RNA, 439 nt
Filed under: Hevea brasiliensis (rubber tree)
Lineage: Eukaryota; Viridiplantae; Streptophyta; Magnoliopsida; Malpighiales; Euphorbiaceae
Source: RNAcentral
UAGAGUCCUGGCUAGUGGCAGAUAUUAUUACUGCCUCAACCACUGCUACACAUGGUUCUGCUAGCAAUGGGUGGUAGAUGGAAUACUUAUGGAUUCAAGUUAUCAUAUCUUGCACUUCUGAUCAUUCUUUAUGACGUUCACGGAUGUAGCUCACUCAAUUCUGAAGGAUUGGCAUUGUUGGGACUACGAUCAAAAGUUGAUUGUGAUCCAUACGGAGUUCUUGCAAACUGGAAUCCUGAUCAUUGUGACCCAUGUAUGUGGUUUGGAGUACAGUGUCUGGAGGGCAAAGUGCAAAUGUUGGAUCUUCAUGGACUUUCUUUGGAAGGCACAUUGGCACCAGAGCUUGGGAAUCUCACUCACCUAAAAUCAAUUGUGCUGUCAGAAAACAAUUUUUUUGGUGCCAUUCCAAAAGAAUUUGGACGACUUCAAAGGUUGGAAG